This is a microRNA precursor of Sorghum bicolor (sorghum), 109 nucleotides long. It matches the Rfam family "MIR5565 microRNA precursor family". The record is from Rfam. NCBI's taxonomy places the organism in Eukaryota, Viridiplantae, Streptophyta, Magnoliopsida, Poales, Poaceae.
GUAGUCGGAUUCGCAUCAAUCCACAUGUAUUGGGGUGGGUUGGAGUAGAACUUGAACUAAAUUAUACCUCAAUCCACUUCAACACAUGUGAAUUGAUGUGAAUCCAACA